UUGCUUCAGCAGCACAUAGACUAAAAUUGGAAUGAUACAGAGAUUAGCAUGGCCCCUGUGCAUCUAUGACAUGUAAAUUUGUAAUGUGUUCCAUAUUAAA
Molecule: small nuclear RNA, 100 nt
Organism: Monodelphis domestica (gray short-tailed opossum)
Lineage: Eukaryota; Metazoa; Chordata; Mammalia; Didelphimorphia; Didelphidae
Source: Ensembl